CAAAUAUAAGAAUAACUAAUUUAAGUAAAAGUGUUGUUGUCGCACCGAUUCAGGUUGGACCAAUGUUU
Long non-coding RNA from Maniola jurtina (meadow brown), 68 nucleotides. RefSeq lists it as uncharacterized. Lineage: Eukaryota; Metazoa; Arthropoda; Insecta; Lepidoptera; Nymphalidae. The record is from RefSeq and is a predicted model, not a curated record. The transcript is spliced from 3 exons.